UCUGAAAGGUUGUUGGUGGUGGAAUUGCAGCUACGACGAAAUUGGUUUCUGUUUUGGAAAAGAAGAAGCGAUGAGUAUUGGUCUUUGACAAGCUAUGGGAUUUGGUGUGGUAAUUGUGUUUUGAAGUGAAAUUGGGUAUGCUGCUUGAAUGGUUAAUGCCUGCUUGAGUGAUCGAUUAUGUUGGAAAUGUCAUUGUUAUAAGCUGAAUGACUGAAUCAGUGAACUCUUUAAAGAAGUUGUAAAUUGCAAGUUAAAUCAUUGUUGUGAAAGAAAAUGUUGAGCGUGAGUAAUGAAAAUGGUGAAUUCUACGUACUUAGGUUAAAGGGGGAUUCUCAGUCAAGGUAAUGGACCAAACUAUAAAUGAAGUGCUCUAAAGCUAUCAUACCCCGAAAUGGAAUUAAGGAAUGAAAUUGUUCGGGAAUGAUAACCGCUAUUUAUUUGCUUAAGGUUUAACGACUAAGUAAAAAUGUCAACUUGGUUGACUUGAAUUACAUUAAGGAAAGAAGUAUGAUCACCAUAUCCCGAAUGAGCUUACUAUUCUAAGUGAAUUGUUCGGGAAUGGUUUCUAGUAAGUAUCGAUCAUGGGUUAUUUGGUGAAUUUUAAAGUGAGUUAUGAAUUAGUUACUUAUCGGAUAUAAUUUUUGUUAAAGGACUUGAGCGUGUGCACAUGAAAUUGGAAGAAGUAUCGAAAUUCGGAAACAAAGCUAAGUUUGGGCGAGCACUCCAAUUCCAGUGUGCAGGUUUCGAGCAUGUGGUCGGGGAGCGUACAGAGGAGGCACAUGGCCCGGCUUGGCGCAUUCUUCUUUAAUUUUAUCAAAAAAAGGUUUUGGUCCUUUAUCGGAUUUUGAAGUAGCUUGUUUAUUUACUUUUAUUUAUUUCCUACUUGUUUACAAAAACUUCGAGAGGCCCGUAACCCUGGGGCGUGUCUCUCGCACUUGUAGUUACUUAGUGAUUUGUUUUCCAAAUUGGGCUC
This is a long non-coding RNA of Rosa rugosa (rugosa rose), 973 nucleotides long. RefSeq lists it as uncharacterized. The transcript has 2 exons. The record is from RefSeq and is a predicted model, not a curated record. Lineage: Eukaryota; Viridiplantae; Streptophyta; Magnoliopsida; Rosales; Rosaceae.